This 468-nucleotide ribosomal RNA is filed under the name uncultured bacterium. RNAcentral describes it as "partial 16S ribosomal RNA". It matches the Rfam family "Bacterial small subunit ribosomal RNA", at positions 28 to 507 of the family's 1533-position model. The record is from RNAcentral.
GACGAACGCUGGCGGCGUGCUUAACACAUGCAAGUCGAACGGAAAGGCCCUGCUUUUGUGGGGUGCUCGAGUGGCGAACGGGUGAGUAACACGUGAGUAACCUGCCCUUGACUUUGGGAUAACUUCAGGAAACGGGGGCUAAUACCGGAUAUUAGCUCCUGCUGCAUUGUGGGGUGUGGAAAGUUUCGGCGGUUGGGGAUGGACUCGCGGCUUAUCAGCUUGUUGGUGGGGUAGUGGCUUACCAAGGCUUUGUCGGGUAGCCGGCCUGCGAGGGUGACCGGCGACAUUGGGACUGAGAUACGGCCCAGACUACUACGGGAGGCAGCAGUGGGGAAUAUUGCACAAUGGGCGGAAGCCUGAUGGAGCAACGCCGCGUGCGGGAUGACGGCAUUCGGGUUGUAAACCGCUUUCGCCUGUGACGAAGCGUGAGUGACGGUAAUGGGUAAAGAAGCACCGGCUAACUACGUG